AUGCAUGUGCUUGCUACUCCUACUUGCAAUUAUUAUGAGGGAGGGACUACAUCUCCACCUCUAUAUGUUUCCAACACAAUAAAAUUGCAAGAAACUCCUUAUGCUAUGUACCGGCCUUUACUUUGUGUGCAUGAAUUUUUCUUUUACAAUAUGCCGAUGCAAAGGAAGAGAGUUAGACUUCAGUGUUGCAUGAUAUAUGUUGCUUUUUGCUCAAUACCAAAAUACAAAUCAUUGUUAAUUCAAAUUGGCUUUGAUAUACACCUCGGGAUCCGGGUGGAUCAAUUACUUGAGCACUUUAUGCCAGGCUUAAUGGCUUUAAAGAAAGCGCUGCCAGGGAGACAACCCGGAAGUUUUAGAGAGUCAACUACUUUUGAUGUGUGCUUUUAUAAAGUUUAA
RNAcentral lists this ribosomal RNA (396 nucleotides) under Triticum aestivum (bread wheat). RNAcentral's name for it is "partial small subunit ribosomal RNA". The record is from RNAcentral. Lineage: Eukaryota; Viridiplantae; Streptophyta; Magnoliopsida; Poales; Poaceae.